AACGAACGCUGGCGGCAUGCCUAACACAUGCAAGUCGAACGAGACCUUCGGGUCUAGUGGCGCACGGGUGCGUAACGCGUGGGAAUCUGCCCCUUGGUUCGGAAUAACGGUUAGAAAUGACUGCUAAUACCGGAUGAUGACGAAAGUCCAAAGAUUUAUCGCCGAGGGAUGAGCCCGCGUAGGAUUAGCUAGUUGGUGAGGUAAAGGCUCACCAAGGCGACGAUCCUUAGCUGGUCUGAGAGGAUGAUCAGCCACACUGGGACUGAGACACGGCCCAGACUCCUACGGGAGGCAGCAGUGGGGAAUAUUGGACAAUGGGCGAAAGCCUGAUCCAGCAAUGCCGCGUGAGUGAUGAAGGCCUUAGGGUCGUAAAGCUCUUUUUACCAGGGAUGAUAAUGACAGUACCUGGAGAAUAAGCUCCGGCUAACUCCGUG
RNAcentral lists this ribosomal RNA (434 nucleotides) under uncultured bacterium. RNAcentral's name for it is "bacterial SSU rRNA". It matches the Rfam family "Bacterial small subunit ribosomal RNA", at positions 29 to 507 of the family's 1533-position model. The record is from RNAcentral.